This 214-nucleotide ribosomal RNA is filed under the name uncultured Staphylococcus sp. RNAcentral's name for it is "partial 16S ribosomal RNA". It matches the Rfam family "Bacterial small subunit ribosomal RNA", at positions 126 to 334 of the family's 1533-position model. The record is from RNAcentral. Lineage: Bacteria; Bacillati; Bacillota; Bacilli; Caryophanales; Staphylococcaceae.
CCUACUAUAAGACUGGGAUAACUUCGGGAAACCGGAGCUAAUACCGGAUAAUAUUUUGAACCGCAUGGUUCAAAAGUGAAAGACGGUCUUGCUGUCACUUAUAGAUGGAUCCGCGCUGCAUUAGCUAGUUGGUAAGGUAACGGCUUACCAAGGCAACGAUGCAUAGCCGACCUGAGAGGGUGAUCGGCCACACUGGAACUGAGACACGGUCCAG